UAGCAUUGCCACUUACCAGAAAUUAUAUUAAAAGUACAGGUGAAACUUUCCAAAAUUUUAAAUUUACAUAGCAAAAGAAACUGACAUUUUCUCCAAGGGUUGCUGAUACGGGGUUGCGCGCGGACCAAGAUCGAGUUGCCAAGUCACGGGAAACUCCUACGAAAACCCUAAACAAUUAGAUCUGAAACGAAACAGAAAAUUAAAAGAUUAGAUUUUUGAAUUUUCAGAUCUGAAAUAAAAUCCCCAAAACAGUAAAGAAUCAAAUAGAGAAUAGAAAUAAGUGUUAGGGUUCUUGAAACCCUCAAGGAGAUUGUGAUUCUGCCCAAUUGAACACCAAGAUAGUUUUCCCCAAAUUUCGACAAUCUAAUUUCACCCAAAAAGAGUAUAGAAAAACCCUAGAAAUUGGGGAUUUUUUUUGGGCUGAUUCCUUAAGAUAGAAAAAGGCUGAAAACACAAUAAGAACAGAAAAUAGAUUAGAUAAUGAUUCAGCACAAGUAGAAAUAAAGAAAUAAAAUGAAAUAGCAAGAAAUAAAGAAAGUCCUAAAGAUCCUUGAAAUCCCGAAAGAUUUCACAAAUCCCUUCAAACGGCUCUAAUCUCCCCUCCAAAGAAUAUCAAUGGCAAGAAGAAGGUUGAAGAUGGCUCCACAAUCAAAAGAUUGUUAAAACAACUUCUAAAGAAAACUCAAGAGAAAAUCCUUGAAGAACUCAAAGAGAAUUUUCACUCAAAUCAAAUCUGAAAUUUUCAAUAUAAUUGUAUUGUAAUGUAGGGUGGCUGGCCAAGCCAUAUAAAUAGGCCUUUCAAAUGUUUUCCUAAUUUAAUUAGAACACUAAAACUAAAACUAAAAAAAAAAAAAAACUCCUAAUUAUUUUAAUAUGGAAAUUCGGCCAAGGGUCUUUUAUUUGGGACUCUUGGACUGAAUAUAAAAAUUUAAACUAAGUAAAAUAAAAAAAUAAAACUUUACAACUUGGGCCACUUUGACAAUUUGGCCUGAUUUUCAACUAAGUAUGGGUGGAUUUCUUGAUUGGGCUUGGAAGAAUUUGGGCUUGUGAUCCAUCUCCUACCGAAAUUGAAUUGUUGAUGCUCGUAAUGGAGAUCCAAUGCGCUUUGGCUGCAAGAUUUGGUGUCUUGGACCAAGAUUCCCAAUAUUUGAAAUCUUGAUUUUCCCUUUCUUUUGUGUACGCAUCUAAGGCCUUACUAACAAACUCCUGGAUGGUCCCAUUUAGUUUGGAACGCAUUUGUCGGGCCUUUGAUCUCGUAUCAUUCCCCCUUCCUCAAAAAGAUUCGACCUCGAAUCUGAAAAAUCAAAUGGGGACAAGUCAGCCACAUUAAAAGUAGAACUUACAUUGUACUCACCAGGUAGAUCAAUUUUAUAGGCAUUAUCGUUGAUCCUCUCGAGUACUUGGAAAGGCCCAUCGCCCCUUGGGUCCAACUUGGUCUUUCUUCUUGCAGGAAAUCGUUCUUUCCUCAUAUGGACCCAAACCCAAUCUCCGGGUUCUAGGACAACCCGUUUGCGCCCCUUGUUUGCUUUGUUGGUGUUGGCAUCAUAUGUUUUGGCUAUUCGUUGCCUAGCCUGCUCAUGUAAGGAUUUCACCAACUCAGCUUUCUGUUCACCAUCUAAAUUAACAAUGUGUUCAAGUGGUAAUGGCGCAAGAUCAAGUACUGUUAGUGGGUUAAAACCAUAAACAAGUUCAAAUGGAGAAUAACCAGUUGUAGAAUGAAUAGAUCUAUUAUAUGCAAAUUCAACAAACGGUAGGCAUUCUUCCCAAUUUCUAAUGUUCUUUCCCACAACAGAUCGUAAUAAAGUCCCUAAGAUCCGAUUAACUACUUCGGUUUGGCCAUCAGUUUGGGGGUGACAUGUAGUGGAAUAAAGUAAUUUAGUACCAAGCUUACCCCACAAUACCUUCCAAAAGUGGCUAAGAAAUUUGACAUCUCUGUCAGAAACAAUUGUUUUAGGGAUGCCAUGAAGUCUUACCACCUCUUUAAAGAAUAAGUCUGCUACAUGUGUAGCAUCAUCUGUUUUGUGACAAGAAAUAAAAUGUGCCAUCUUUGAGAACCUGUCAACAACAACAAAUAUACUAUCUCUUCCUUUCUUAUUUCGAGGCAAACCUAGAAUAAAGUCCAUGGAUAAAUCUACCCAAGGUGCAGUAGGAAUCGGUAAAGGAGUGUAAAGGCCAUGAGGCAUUACCUUAGAUUUUGCUUGUUUGCAUGUAAUGCACUUGGAACAUACCUUUUCGACAUCCUUUUUCAUAUGUGGCCAAUAGAAGUGUUCUUGCAAGAUAUCCAGUGUUUUGGCCACUCCAAAAUGUCCCAUUAAACCUCCACUAUGGGCCUCAUGAAUCAAUAAGUCUCUCAUGGAACACUUUGGUAUGCAUAACCUGUUCAUACGAAAAAGAAAGCCAUCUACAAGAUAAAAUUUAUCGAAAGCAGUAUGUCCACAAUUCUUAUAGAUAUGGCCGAAAUCAGCAUCAUCAUCAUAUAGUUCCUUAAUAUGUUCGAACCCUAAGACUUUAGCAUUCAAUGUAGUUAUUAAAGUAUAUCGCCUAGACAAAGCAUCUGCGACUACAUUAUCUUUACCUGUUUUAUAUUGAAUCACAUAAGGGAAUGUUUCAAUGAAUUCUACCCAUCGGGCAUGUCUUUUACUCAACUUACCUUGUCCCUUUAACCAUUUAAGAGACUCAUGAUCUGUAUGUAUGACAAACUCAUUAGGCAACAAAUAAUGUUGCCAUACUUGAAGUGCACGAACUAAUGCCAAUAGUUCUUUGUCAUAAGUCGAGUAAUUUAACUGUGCACCGUUCAAUUUCUCACUAAAAUAAGCAAUAGGUUGCUUAUCUUGCAUUAAAACGGCGCCGAUUCCAAUUCCUGAAGCAUCACACUCAAGUUCAAAAGUGUUAGCAAAAUCAGGUAAUUUAAGCAAAGGAGCAGAACAUAACUUAGCUUUUAGAGUUUGAAAAGCUUUUUCUUGGGUUUCACCCCAUUUGAAACCCACUGAUUUCUUUAUAACUUCAGUCAAUGGGGCAGCAAUAGUAGAGAAAUCUUUCACAAAUCGUCUAUAAAAACUGGCUAAACCAUGGAAAGAUCUCACCUCAGUUACCGAUUUAGGAGUCGGCCACUCCUUAAUUGCCUUAACUUUGUCCUCGUCGACAUGAAUACCUUGAGCACUAACUAUGAAACCUAAGAAUAUUAGUUUAUCACAACAGAAUGUGCAUUUAUCAAGGUUGGCAAAUAAUCUUUCAGUUCGUAGAAUAUCCAAAACGGUUCGAACAUGGAAAACAUGAUCAUCUAAUGACUUUGAGUAAAUUAAAAUAUCAUCAAAGUAAACUACUACAAAUUUACCCAAAUGUAGCCUCAAAACAUGAUUCAUUAAUCUCAUAAAUGUACUAGGUGCAUUAGUAAGGCCGAAAGGCAUAACUAACCAUUCAUACAAUCCAAAUUUUGUUUUAAAAGCUGUUUUCCAUUCAUCCCCUUCCCUCAUUCGAAUUUGAUGAUAACCGCUUCUUAAAUCAAUUUUUGUAAAUAUUAUUGAACCAUGUAAUUCAUCAAGCAUAUCAUCAAGUCUAGGGAUUGGGUGUCGAUACUUUACCGUUAUCUUGUUGAUUGGGCGACAAUCAACACACAUACGAAACGUACCAUCUUUCUUUGGCACCAAUAAGACAGGAACAGCACAAGGACUUAGGCUCUCACGAAUGUACCCUUUGUCUAGUAAUUCCUCCACUUGCCUUUGCAAUUCCUUUGUCUCCUCGGGAUUGCAUCUAUAGGCUGGUCGAUUUGGGAUUGAAGCUCCGGGUACUAAGUCAAUUUGAUGUUCUAUCCCUCGUAAAGGUGGUAAACCUUUAGGGGCCUCACUAAAAACAUCCUCAUAAUCCUGCAAAAGAGAUUGAAACACACUAGGCAAAUUUUCGUUAAUGUUAGAUAAAGAUAAAUAAUUUUGCCUAAACCUCACAAGGAUACAAGGCUGUUUAUUAAGUAGGGCUCUCUUCACAUCUUUUUUUGUUGCCAAAAGAUUUUUGCCGCUCAUUUUACCACUAGAGGAUUCACUCACCUUUGGGCUUUUUAAAUUUUGACUUUUUCCACUACUAUUAGCCUCUUUUCUCUCUGUCUUUUGUACUUGCUCUUUCUCCCUUACCCCCUCACAAAAUUUUAUCAUCCUCAAUUGAUCUUUAUAUACAUCAGUAGGAUUUAAAGGAGCAAAAGUGAAUUUCUUGCCUUUAAAUACAAGGGAGUAUCGAUUAAGUUUACCUUGGUGUGUAACAUCGCGAUCAAAUUGCCAAGGUCGUCCAAGGAGCAAGUGUGCCGCAUGCAUGGGGACUACAUCACACCAUACGUCAUCCUCAUAAUUGCCGAGUUUAAAAGUGACCAAGGACUGUUUCGUAACUUUAACUUCGGAACAUUCAUUAAGCCACUGAAGGUGAUAUGGCUUAGGGUGUUUGGUACAAGGCAACUUUAAAGAAUCCACCAAAUAACUACUCACUACAUUCGAGCAACUCCCACUAUCAAUAAUGAGUGAACAUAAGUUACCUUUAAUAAAACACCGAGAAUGGAAAAUAUUGGUCCUUUGGCUCUCAUCAUCUUUUAUCUGAAUGUUAAGGGUUCGACGAACUACAAGGCAUUGAAAAUUAGCAAAGUCCCCUUCCUUUGGUGGUUCGACCAACUCGUCGCCAUUAUCACUGUCAUCCACAAGUUCUGGCAUAUCUGGAUCUGUAUUAUCAGAGUCGGAAGUGUACUCACCGUUAUCUUUUAGAAGAAGUAAUCUCGUGUUAGGGCAUUCUCUACUAUAAUGACCACGCCCUUUGCACUUAAAGCAUUCAAUCUCACGAGUCCUCUUCGCACUCGAAUCACCUAAAUUGGGCUGCUUAGAAGGUGUUUGCGUUUUUGCAGGAGCCCCUUUUUUCCAAUCUGAUUGUUUACUUCCAUUACUCAAAGAAGACUUGUUAGUAACAAAAGGUGGUUUUGAACUCUUAAAAUCAGAAUUGGAAUUGUUACCUCGAUAAUAUUGUGAAGUAGAUAAGGACCCAAACCUUUGUUCCUUUAAUUGUUGCUCGAUCUCAAUGGCUUUGUGAACUGCUUCUUCCAAAUCAAUGUAAGUUUGUAGCCUCAAUGUAUUAGCUAUCGGCCUGUUCAAACCAUCAAUGAAUCGAACCAUAGUUGUUUCUUCAUCUUCCUCCACAUUAGCUCUCUGAAUGAGCAUCUCCAUCUCUUUAAAAUAUUCAUCCACCGUCCUACUACCUUGGAUAAGUCUUCUCAACUUUGUUUUAAUUUCUCUAUAGUAGUGAGGUGGAAUAAACCUUUUACGCAUAAUCUGUUUCAACUCAUCCCAUGUUGAAAUCUCACCUUCAUAAUUCCGAUGGCGGUUUACCCCAAGUUGAGUCCACCAACUUAAUGCAUAAUCAGAAAAUUCCAGUGUUGCUAACGCUACCUUUUCAUCAUCCGGACAUUUAUAAUAUCGAAACAUGAGUUCAAUCUUAGAUUCCCAUUCACAAUAAGCGUCAGGAUCAUUCUUACCACGAAAUUGGGGAAUUGUGAAUUUCGGUUUUGCCAAAGAAGGUUGUCCACGAUCAUGAAAAUCAUCAUCCAUUCUAGGGACACGUCGAGGGCCGCGCCUAUGGGGCUGGUUAUUCCUAUCUUCCCUGAUUGGAUCUCGAUAUUGAAGUUCUUGAUUCAUUCGUACCUCAUUCAAAGUAGUAUUCAAUGCUUGAAGGGUAGCAUUUAUUUGUGUGAUUGCAACAGCGUGUCCUUCUAACUGUUGUUGGACUUCCAUAAGUGUAUCAUUAUUAUCACCUUUAGACAUCUUCAAAACCUGUAAAAAAUAAACACUCAACACUCAAAAAUAAAAGUUAGCAAACCUCACCAUUAAUCACUCAAAAAGAAAAUUCAAAUUCUCAAUGAGGUCGAAUUCAAUCUUGUGAGUUCUUUAUCAGAGUUUAUAUCAACCAAUUAGAGAGUGUGAACCAAACUACCAAAGAAUCCUAAUUUGCACUAGGAUGCCAAAAACUGACGAGACACCAAUUGAUUCGUGUUGCACCGAGGAAGAAGUUGUGCACACGUUUAAAUCCUACUAACACAAGAAACAAGAAGGUGUUAGAUAACGUAAAGGAAGAAUAAAGGUAAACAAAUGAAAACCUACAGCUAAGAAUCAAUAAAAAUUGCUGAAAACAGAAAACCCGAAAAACUGCGGAGUAACUUGACAACUUCGUUCGAGGUGUUCCCGAUCUCCAAAAAUCACGAAAUUAAAUCUGGAGUGUCCUUACAUAUUGAAUUUUUGAUCUGGAAAUUUUGGGCACCAAAUUCAACCCGCUGAAUAUUUUUUUAAUUUUUUAUUGGAUUUCGUCUUUUUUCAAUUUUUUAACUUUUUCGACUUUUUUUUUUUUUGCGGUAAAUAUUUUUGUAUAUUCAAUAACAGUGCCAAAAAUAUGUAUGUAAAAUUUCAGAUCAAUCAGAAAACGUUUACCCACUCAAAUGAAUUUUUUUUCGAAAAUUUUUCUGGGUAAAACUGCUGUUGUAAUUUAAAAAAAUAGAGAUCAGUUUAGAAAUCAACCAAGAACACCCAAAACGCCCAAAAUCUGAUACCAAAUGAUACGGGGUUGCGCGCGGACCAAGAUCGAGUUGCCAAGUCACGGGAAACUCCUACGAAAACCCUAAACAAUUAGAUCUGAAACGAAACAGAAAAUUAAAAGAUUAGAUUUUUGAAUUUUCAGAUCUGAAAUAAAAUCCCCAAAACAGUAAAGAAUCAAAUAGAGAAUAGAAAUAAGUGUUAGGGUUCUUGAAACCCUCAAGGAGAUUGUGAUUCUGCCCAAUUGAACACCAAGAUAGUUUUCCCCAAAUUUCGACAAUCUAAUUUCACCCAAAAAGAGUAUAGAAAAACCCUAGAAAUUGGGGAUUUUUUUUGGGCUGAUUCCUUAAGAUAGAAAAAGGCUGAAAACACAAUAAGAACAGAAAAUAGAUUAGAUAAUGAUUCAGCACAAGUAGAAAUAAAGAAAUAAAAUGAAAUAGCAAGAAAUAAAGAAAGUCCUAAAGAUCCUUGAAAUCCCGAAAGAUUUCACAAAUCCCUUCAAACGGCUCUAAUCUCCCCUCCAAAGAAUAUCAAUGGCAAGAAGAAGGUUGAAGAUGGCUCCACAAUCAAAAGAUUGUUAAAACAACUUCUAAAGAAAACUCAAGAGAAAAUCCUUGAAGAACUCAAAGAGAAUUUUCACUCAAAUCAAAUCUGAAAUUUUCAAUAUAAUUGUAUUGUAAUGUAGGGUGGCUGGCCAAGCCAUAUAAAUAGGCCUUUCAAAUGUUUUCCUAAUUUAAUUAGAACACUAAAACUAAAACUAAAAAAAAAAAAAAACUCCUAAUUAUUUUAAUAUGGAAAUUCGGCCAAGGGUCUUUUAUUUGGGACUCUUGGACUGAAUAUAAAAAUUUAAACUAAGUAAAAUAAAAAAAUAAAACUUUACAACUUGGGCCACUUUGACAAUUUGGCCUGAUUUUCAACUAAGUAUGGGUGGAUUUCUUGAUUGGGCUUGGAAGAAUUUGGGCUUGUGAUCCAUCUCCUACCGAAAUUGAAUUGUUGAUGCUCGUAAUGGAGAUCCAAUGCGCUUUGGCUGCAAGAUUUGGUGUCUUGGACCAAGAUUCCCAAUAUUUGAAAUCUUGAUUUUCCCUUUCUUUUGUGUACGCAUCUAAGGCCUUACUAACAAACUCCUGGAUGGUCCCAUUUAGUUUGGAACGCAUUUGUCGGGCCUUUGAUCUCGUAUCAGUUGCACUACCAUGCAUUUAUGUAUUUAACUUCUGUUAUAGCUAAGUAUCUAUAGUAUGGAUCUAGACCUUCUCGAUGAGUUACCAUAGUUCUGAUUCUAGGCAAAAGAUUUUCUAGCAACCGGUAUUUUUCAACUUUCAGUCAAGUACUUAAAACUUCAAAU
Molecule: long non-coding RNA, 7890 nt
Filed under: Gossypium barbadense (sea-island cotton)
Lineage: Eukaryota; Viridiplantae; Streptophyta; Magnoliopsida; Malvales; Malvaceae
Description: long non-coding RNA (GBAR_LNC011905)
Source: RNAcentral